Molecule: ribosomal RNA, 301 nt
Filed under: uncultured bacterium
Lineage: Bacteria
Description: partial 16S ribosomal RNA
Rfam family: Bacterial small subunit ribosomal RNA
Source: RNAcentral
CAGUAGCCACGGUAAUACGAAGGGUGCAAGCGUUACUAGGAAUUACUGGGCGUAAAGCGUGCGUAGGUGGUGGUUUAAGUCCGUUGUGAAAGCCCUGGGCUCAACCUGGGAAUUGCAGUGGAUACUGGGUCACUAGAGUGUGGUAGAGGAUAGUGGAAUUUCCGGUGUAGCAGUGAAAUGCGUAGAUAUAGGAAGGAACACCAGUGGCGAAGGCGACCACCUGGACUGAUACUGACACUGAGGUGCGAAAGCGUGGGGAGCAAACAGGAUUAGAUACCCCCGUAGUCCCUGUCUCUUAUAA